RNAcentral lists this ribosomal RNA (537 nucleotides) under uncultured Acidithiobacillus sp. RNAcentral describes it as "bacterial SSU rRNA". It matches the Rfam family "Bacterial small subunit ribosomal RNA", at positions 366 to 896 of the family's 1533-position model. Lineage: Bacteria; Pseudomonadati; Pseudomonadota; Acidithiobacillia; Acidithiobacillales; Acidithiobacillaceae. The record is from RNAcentral.
UCGCAAUGGGGGCCACCCUGACGAAGCAAUGCCGCGUGGAUGAAGAAGGCCUUCGGGUUGUAAAGUCCUUUCGUGGGGGACGAAAAGGCGGGUCCUAAUACNAUCUGCUGUUGACGUGAACCCAAGAAGAAGCACCGGCUAACUCCGUGCCAGCAGCCGCGGUAAUACGGGGGGUGCAAGCGUUAAUCGGAAUCACUGGGCGUAAAGGGUGCGUAGGCGGUACGUUAGGUCUGUCGUGAAAUCCCCGGGCUCAACCUGGGAAUGGCGGUNGAAACCGGCGCACUAGAGUAUGGGAGAGGGUGGUGGAAUUCCAGGUGUAGCGGUGAAAUGCGUAGAGAUCUGGAGGAACAUCAGUGGCGAAGGCGGCCACCUGGCCCAAUACUGACGCUGAGGCACGAAAGCGUGGGGAGCAAACAGGAUUAGAUACCCUGGUAGUCCACGCCCUAAACGAUGAAUACUAGAUGUUUGGUGCCUAGCGUACUGAGUGUCGUAGCUAACGCGAUAAGUAUUCCCCUGGGAAGUACGGCCGCAAGGUUA